Molecule: long non-coding RNA, 6857 nt
Filed under: Salvia miltiorrhiza (redroot sage)
Lineage: Eukaryota; Viridiplantae; Streptophyta; Magnoliopsida; Lamiales; Lamiaceae
Description: long non-coding RNA (SMIL_LNC007205)
Source: RNAcentral
CUCGUUCCCCACCACCACGACCACCACUAGCAUCACCAUCUUCUCGGCUUCUGACAAUAUUAUCAAUUAAAUGGCGUUGGCAGGUGUGAAAAGAUCUUUUCGGAAGAAGAAGACAGGAAAGCCCGGAGCGCCGAAGAAGGGCAAACACUCCGCCACCUGCAGCUUCAACGUCGUUCAGCCCCCGGCUAUUAUCUCCCAUGCUACUUGUUGGAAAUAUGGUUUUAUGCCAUAUCUGAAAAUUAUUAUUUAAUUAAAUAUUUAUUAUUUAAUUAAAAUAAUUAUUGGAUGUUAAUCUACACCUCGAGUAGAUCAACGUGAUAUACUUGAAGUCUCAAAACCGAUUUCCGGUGAGUGAGAUAUUGCAUGUCAAAGUUUGGAAGUUGAAGAGGGAAAAUCAGUUUCAACUUCUGCGUUCAACGAUUGCGGCCACCUACCGCAGCCGCCGGAGUUGACUGCCGUCCGUUCACACCGGCAGUUCACACCUUACGUUCACACCUUCCGUUCACACCUUCCGUUCACACUAGGUUUAACACCUAUAAAUAUGGGUGUGUUGUGAGCUUCAGAAUUAACGAAUUCACUCACAACUCAUAACUCACAACAUAUUCUGCAUUCCACCUCAACCUCUAGCUCAGUUCUUGAUCCUAUUCAGUUCGCCGGAGCUCGCCGGAUUGUGGUGCUACAUCCGACGAGACGAAGUCGUUUUACCUUUGGGGAAGAUACGCCUAAACCGAAGAGCACUACCGGGGCGAUAAUCUUCUUGCGGGAAGAGAUUCAUCUCGACUCGACUUAGUUUAUACGUAUAAUUUAUUUAUACAGUAUAUUUCAGUUGUAUACAUUUAUUUGAGUUGUAAUUUCUCAAAUUAUUUUCCUUGUAAUAUUUUCAAUUAUUUUGAGUUGUAAUAUCUCAAAAUAUUUAUUUUGUAAUAUCUCGAUCGUGUACCCGGUUCUAACAAUCGCAAGAAGAUUAUUUCUCUGCCGUUGAUACACGUUCGAGAAAUGGCUCACACCGACGUCAAUAUGGACGGCGCCACCACCUCUGCAACCAUCGGUUCAACCACGUCGUCAAUGUUUUCCUCGUUUGCAUCAAUGGGCGCUUCAACGUCAACCAUGGCCCCAUUGCAAACAUCCAGAACUAUUGGUCUUGCCGAGAAACCAUCAACGUUCUCGGGCAAGAAUUUUAAAUAUUGGCAAGAAAAGAUGCUAUUCUACCUCACAACCGUGGGGUUUGCCGGAUUCUUGAUGGAGGAUAAACCUCCAACCCCGAGUGAAGGGGAGACGAGCCAAGAAAUUCGUGCCGGAUAUUUGAACUGGUGCCGCGGCGACUACUUGUGCCGUAACACCGUUCUCAUGUCUCUGGACGAACGGCUCUACCGUGUUUUCAAGGUUCAUGAAACCGCGAAACAAUUGUGGGAGGCCCUUGAUUUGAAAUAUCAAGUGGACAAGGCAAAUACUACCAAGUAUAUUGUCGCCAAAUGGUUGGAAUACAAAAUGGUCGACUCCCGGCCAUUGAUGGACCAAAGUGGAAGAAUUCCAAAAUACUUUCACAUGAGGUUCAAGCCGAAGGGAUGCCCUUGGCGGAUGCAUUGCUCGUUGCAAUCAUCAUAGAGAAAUUACCUCCUAGUUGGAGAAAAUUUCAAAACCUUUUGAAGCAUGAGCGCUCGGAGAUGUCCGUGCCGAUAUUAAUAUCCAAGCUUCAAAUGGAGGAUCACGUGAGAAGUCGUGAUCAAAAGGGAAAAGCUCCAAUGGAGGCAAAGGCCAAUCUCACCGAGAAAGGCGGUUCCUCCAACAAACGUGGUCGCCCUAACCCUAAUAAUAAGGGUAAAGGGAAGCAAGGCGGNAUUAUUCCGUGCUUGUGAUGUAUCAUUUAAAUUUGAAAGAUUGAGCACCCGCAACGCGGGUACUCGAGUGAGUACUCGAGGAGAGGAGGGCGUCGAGGAGCGCGAUGCGGCGGGAGCUCCUCGAGGAGUACCCGAGUUAUCGGGUAGCCUCGAGAAGGCGCGUGCUCUGCACGCGCCAGAAAAAAAAAAAAAAUUUAUUUUCAACGGCUUUUUCGACCGUUUUUCAAUUUUUUUUUCCUUCCCCAACGACUCUUUCGUCCGUUUGCAUCCAUUUUUCUUUUCUUUUUUUUUUCUUCUUUUCUCUCUAUAAAUAAUACUUCUCCCUACAACUCAUUCACCUACAAUUCAUUCAUCACAACUCACUUUCAUUCAUCACAACUCAUUCCUUCUUCCUCCUACAAUUUUUCUUGCAAAAUAUCAUAUUCGUUCUUCCAAAAAUGUCGUCACCUGAACAUGAUUCUUCGCCCGAUUCCGACGAAGUCGCUGAAAAGUUCAUGGAGUUGGUUGAGUUGCAGAAACAAGUGCUUCAAUCAUACUGCCCCCAACCGGCGCCAGAGCCGGCGCGUGCCAAACGUCCCCGAUCAUACGUCCACCGUGAUCGUGAAGAGGCCCAUGUACGUCUUAUGCAAGACUACUUCGUCGACAAUCCAACGUACGGCCCUACUUUUUUCCGGCGUCGAUUUCGCAUGCAGAAGGAGCUGUUCUUGCGCAUCGUCGAGGCUGUUCAAGGUGAAGAUAUUUACUUUCAUAUGAGCACUGAUGCACUCGGUCGAGAUUCUCUUUCUCCUUUGCAGAAAUGCACGUCGGCUAUCCGCCAAUUAGCCACCGGGGUUAGUGCGGAUGUGUUCGAUGAGUAUCUCAAAGUGGCGGACUCAACCGGUCGUGUAUGCCUAAAGAAGUUCUGCAAGGCGGUCAUACGGGCUUUUGGAGCCCAUUACUUGCGCCGUCCAACGGCAACUGACGUGCAACGCCUUCUUCAUAUGCACGAGGCGAGACAUGGUUUUCCCGGGAUGCUCGGGAGCUUAGACUGCAUGCAUUAGGCGUGGAAGAACUGCCCAAAGGCGUGGCACGGCGCAUACACACGCGGGGAUCAGGGAGAGCCCACCUUGAUAUUGGAGGUCGUUGCCUCUUUCGAUUUGUGGAUUUGGCACGCCUUCUUCGGCGUCGCUGGUUCGAACAACGACAUCAAUGUCCUGAAUCAGUCUCCUCUCUUCUCCGACGUGUUAGGAGGAACUGCGGCGCCGGUGGUCUUUCAUGCCAACCAGCGCGAAUACCGGAUGGGCUACUAUUUGUGUGACGACAUAUAUCCGGAGUGGCGUUGCUUCGUGAAGAGUCCAUCAAUGGCAACCAAUCCGAAGGAGGCAAGGUUCAAGAAGAUGCAAGAAUCGGCACGGAAGGAUGUGGAACGCGCCUUUGGAGUCCUCCAAGCUCGGUGGGGAAUCAUUCGAAGUCCGGCGCGCAAUUGGUACGUAGAGCACCUGAAGGACAUCAUGUUGUGUUGCAUCAUUCUCCACAACAUGAUUGUGGAGCACGAAGGUGAAGCGGCUGCCAACUGGAGAGAUGAUGACGGGGCGUCUAGUAGUGGUUCGACGGAGAGUGCUGGACAAACACCGGUGUCCUUCGAGGAAUAUGUGCGAAGGGAUAGCCUUCUCCGAGAUAGAUAACUACAUGCUCAGCUCCGAUAUGAUUUGAUGGAGCACCUUUGGGCACGUUUCGGACCUCUAGAGCCAGAGUAGUUUAAUUUUUAGGAAUUGUUUUUAUUUUAUUUAAGUUUUAUGUAAUAUUUAGGAUUUUAUAAUUAAUGCAAUUUAAAUUUGAAAUAAAUUAUGUUAUUUAAAUUUGAGCAAUUAAAUUUAAAUGAAAAACAUAAAAUCAAAACUAAUGUUAUCAAGUAGGCUAUCAAGGAACCCCAAUGCAGCACUACCUACUCAAUAACACAACCACUAUCAAGUAGGCUAUCAAGGAACCUCAUUGCGGAUGCUCUUAAUGUCCAAAUACAAUGCAACAAUGGCAGAAUCCUAUCUUAAGUAUAACUUUCCACAAAUAACUGACGAUGAUAAUUCCAAUAAACAGACAAAAACUGUGUUACAAACAGUCACCAUCCACUUUUGCCACCCACCACACUCACCAAGAUCAUCACUAUUUUCGUUUUUAUCACUUUCAUUCUUAAAAUAUCGGCUACUUUUGGACCAAGACUUGGCCGGCUGACCCGCCUGAAUUGGGCGGUCGCCGCCACCUAGAAUUUCUUCCACGGCCACUCCACCUCUGAUAAAUAAGCUGAUCAAUCGAUUUAUUCUAGUAGUUAAAUGAUACUACUAUAUGUAGUGAAUACAAUUCAUUUUAUUUAAUUAUCUUGUGCAAUUAGAUCAUAUACAUGAACAUAUAUAUAGAGAGGAUCAAUGAUAAGUAUUUUGAGAAUAAAGAAUUACUCCAAGCCUUUAAAUUAAUAGAAGCCCACGAUUUAUAUUCAUCCGUUUAAUUUGUGAUCGUUUUUUAUAAUAGGAUUAUUUAAGUAAUUAACCGUCUUUGAUUGAUUUAUGGUUGACCGAACCCCUUUUUUUUUGCUGGAGUUAUUUGUGUAAUUUAAGGUUGAUUAAUUUUGGAAUAUAUGGAGCAUGUAUCUCUAUAUUUUAGUUAUUAUUCAUUUAUCUCUCUCGGCUCAUAUAAUCUAUUAUCUCUCUCCCUCUCUACUUGACAUCCAUAUUUAAGGAAUUUAUUAUAAUUAAUUAUGAAAUGGUUUAUUUAUUUAUUCACAUCUAUUUUCGGUGUUACAAUUAAUAGAUCAGUUAUUUAUGCCUCUUUAUUUUGUAAAUGGGUCAUGAAUUCGAUUUAACAAAAAAUUUACACUUUUAUAUAUUUUCGAUUUUUAUCUGUAUAAUAUUUUUAUUUAGAUGUUCGUUCUUUUGUUACAUUUGUUUGAAAAUUUUUAUGUUAAAUAUUUUAUGUCAGCAAAAAAAAAUUCGAAUAUUUUAUUUAGAUGUUCGUAAUUUUUUUUGCACUCGUUCGAAAAGUUUUAUGUUAAAUAUUUUAUGUCAGCAAAAAAAAAUUCAAAUAUUUCAUGUAGAUGUUCGUAAUUUUAUUACGUUUAUUACAAAAAAAAAUUAUGUUAAAUAUUUUAUUUCAAUAAGUAAAAAUCAUUUGUAGGUAAAGUUCAAUAUUUUCACCCUUUUCGGUCCAGUCAACAAGUCAAUUGUAGGUUCAGUUCAAUUGAACAGUGAAAUUAUCAUUUCUGCAGAGAUUAUACCAAUUACUUUAGUGAACACAAAUAACUAGCAAAUUAAUAAAUUGAGCACUCAUAAAUUAAGCGUUCAACUGUCAAAUUUAUUCAUAAUUAUACGCAUAAUCAUAGAUAACAAGCAAAGGACCCAUACAACUAGAUUCAAGGUUAGAUAAUAUUUGCUAAUUAAACAUACAAAUUAACAUAACUUCAAUCUAAUAUGAUGGGGUUGUCUUCGUGGGAGCAGACGACGGUGAUAUCACGGCGGAAUCUAGAUUCUUUAGUUGGAUCCCGGUUCUUCCUUCACACUGGAAUAUCGAAUAUUCUUCACACCAGAAGAACUUUCGCCGAAAACUCAGUAUUUCCUCUCUUUCGAAUGCCCUUUGCCAGUAUCUCCCCCGAUGGGGCGUGUCUCUCUGGAUUCACAUUUUGUAUACCGCAUACUUUAAAAUCAGUCGUUGCUUGUUGACAUCCUCCAACCCAAAGACAAGUCUAUCCCUGACCUUCAAAUUGAACUUCUUAUAUUCCACAAAUCCUUUAUCAAAAAAUAUUUCUUGGCACGUGAUGCCUUGUAUGUAGUCUUGAUCUCAGUCCGACGAAUCUGACCAACCAAUAAGUGUUCAUUAAGUUUGAUUAUUAAACUUAUAAUUAUAAUGAUUUCAUUAUUAUCAUAAUAUAAUUAUAAGUUCUAUAAAGACGACAUGUUCACAUUUACGAAUCAAAAAUGACUUUUGACUUCUAUACGUGUAACAUGAUUAUUCCUAUAUUAGACUAAAAAGAAGAUUUCAAACUCUAUCAUGUUGUAGCUUUUGAUGGACUAUCAUACAAAUAACUUUCAAGAUUAUUACUUGUACAUUAGUCUAAAUAGAACAUACCAAACUAAAUCAUCAUUAUUACAAAUUUUAUAAUUGUGUGAAAUGAAGGCUUCGUGUGCUUUUUAAUGCAUACUUCAUAAAUAUAAAAUAUGGAGUAUUUUUUAUUCUUUUUUUUAUAUAUAAAUUAACAGUAUUAAAUAAAGAAAUUUAAAGGUUGUGCCACAAAGGACUCAAACCCAAGACCUUUAGCCUUAGGCAUUAACCUCUUAUCGCUUGGCUAACACACGCACACAAGUAUUUUUUAUUCUUAUUAUCACCAUAUAUUCUACUCAGUUAUAACUACAUAUUUGUGCUAAAUCAUACUCCCUUCGUCCGUCAAGAUUAUGCACUUUAGUUGGACACGGGAUUUAAAGGGGUGUAUUGGUUUGGGUAUUCAGUUGGAUUUUUUUUGGAUUUUAAAAAGUUUGGGGGUGUUCAAUCCAAACUUUUAAGUCUUUACAAAUCUAAAUUAAGUUAUUCAAUAUGAUUUUAAAAAGUCUUAAAAAAGUCCUUAGAUAUUAAAAAUCUGUGGAUUUUAAAAGUCUAUGAAUUUUGAUGGAUUCUCUUUUAAAAAUACAAAGAGAGAAAUCUCAACUCAUCACAGAGAUUUAUGUGAAAUUCAAAUCUUAUCUACAGCGGUGCACCUCGUUCCCCACCACCACGACCACCACUAGCAUCACCAUCUUCUCGGCUUCUGACAAUAUUAUCAAUUAAAUGGCGUUGGCAGGUGUGAAAAGAUCUUUUCGGAAGAAGAAGACAGGAAAGCCCGGAGCGCCGAAGAAGGGCAAAGACUCCGCCACCUGCAGCUUCAACGUCGUUCAGCCCCCGGCUAUUAUCUCCCAUGCUACUCUCAAUCUUCAAGAAGAGUAUGAUGAGAAAGAGGAGGUUCUGAGGCAAUUUGACAUGAACAUGACUUAUGGGCCUUGCAUAGGAAUGAAUCGACUGGAG